Molecule: ribosomal RNA, 447 nt
Filed under: uncultured bacterium
Lineage: Bacteria
Description: bacterial SSU rRNA
Rfam family: Bacterial small subunit ribosomal RNA
Source: RNAcentral
AACGAACGCUGGCGGCGUGCCUAACACAUGCAAGUCGUGCGAGAAAGUUCCUUCGGGAGCGAGUAAAGCGGCGCACGGGUGAGUAACACGUAGGUAACCUGCCCCCCAGUCUGGAACAACUAGAGGAAACUCUAGCUAAUGCCGGAUGAGACCACGAUCCCUUCGGGGGUUGCGGCCAAAGAUGGCCUCUACUUGUAAGCUAUCGCUGAGGGAUGGGCCUGCGGGCCAUUAGCUUGUUGGUGAGGUAACGGCUCACCAAGGCUGUGAUGGCUAGCUGGUCUGAGAGGAUGACCAGCCACACUGGGACUGAGACACGGCCCAGACUCCUACGGGAGGCAGCAGUGGGGAAUAUUGCGCAAUGGGCGAAAGCCUGACGCAGCGACGCCGCGUGGGUGGAUGAAGGCCUCGGUCGUAAGACCUCGUCGUCGACGGGAAGGAAAGUAAGAC